RNAcentral lists this ribosomal RNA (269 nucleotides) under uncultured prokaryote. Its description in RNAcentral is "partial 16S ribosomal RNA". It matches the Rfam family "Bacterial small subunit ribosomal RNA", at positions 524 to 792 of the family's 1533-position model. The record is from RNAcentral.
UACGUAGGUGGCGAGCGUUGUCCGGAUUUACUGGGCGUAAAGGGAGCGUAGGCGGACUUUUAAGUGAGAUGUGAAAUACCCGGGCUCAACUUGGGUGCUGCAUUUCAAACUGUAAGACUUGAGUGCAGGAGAGGAGAGUGGAAUUCCUAGUGUAGCGGUGAAAUGCGUAGAUAUUAGGAGGAACACCAGUUGCGAAGGCGGCUCUCUGGACUGUAACUGACACUGAGGCGCGAAAGCGUGGGGAGCAAACAGGAUUAGAUACCCCUGUA